RNAcentral lists this ribosomal RNA (403 nucleotides) under uncultured bacterium. Its description in RNAcentral is "partial 16S ribosomal RNA". It matches the Rfam family "Bacterial small subunit ribosomal RNA", at positions 30 to 526 of the family's 1533-position model. The record is from RNAcentral.
AUUGAACGCUGGCGGCAGGCUUAACACAUGCAAGUCGAGCGAGUGGCGGACGGGUGAGUAAUGUUUGGGGAUUGCCCGCUAGCGGGGGUUAACUACUGGAAACGGUGGCUAACACCGCAUACUAUCGGAUAACCCAUAUGGGAUUAGCUAGUAGGUGGGGUAAAGGCUCACUUAGGCGACGACUUCUAGCUGGUCUGAGAGGAGGAUCAGCCACACGGCGACUGAGACACGGCCCAGCCUCCUAGGGAGUCAGCAGUGGGGAAGAUUGGGCAAUGGGGGCAACCCUGACGCAGCCAUGCCGCGUGUAUGAAGAGGGCCUUAGGGUUGUAGGGUAGUUUCAGCGUGGAGGGGUUACCCGCAGAAGAAGCGCCGGCUAACUCCGUGCCAGCAGCCGCGGUAAUUC